UAUUAACAUAGAUGUGAUCACGUGAAAGGAUGCGUUCCAAAGUUUGAACUUUACGGAGAUGUCAAUUAUACAACGAGUUCAGAGGUGGAAAACUAUUCCGAAUCAAUGACAGUCUUUGAAUUGGAUGUACUUAUCUUCUGGGCUGCAAUAGCUGGUAUACUAGUUAUGAUUGGUGGCUGCUUGGGCUUUAUCUGCAUUUGUAAAAAACGAAACAAGAUAAAUGUAGAUAAUAGCUCAUAUUUACAAGUUAUAAAUGGAUCGUAUGGCACUGUCAUUGAUAACAAUGGAAAUGAAGAUCGCUGCAGUCAGCUCAACCCGUACGUUGGCUUGGUUCCUAAAACCAGCGAUACACAUUACUACAUGUACUAUGAAUAGAGGAAAGAACAACACCAUGAUACAUUAUCCUGUCGUUAUGCAUGUGUAUAUAUUUUAAUAAAUAAUCAAUAGAAACUAAUAUAAUAAUAAAACUUAGAAUUUCUAAAGAUA
Mytilus californianus (California mussel) is the source of this 486-nucleotide long non-coding RNA. RefSeq lists it as uncharacterized. The record is from RefSeq and is a predicted model, not a curated record. Lineage: Eukaryota; Metazoa; Mollusca; Bivalvia; Mytilida; Mytilidae. The transcript has 3 exons.